GACGAACGCUGGCGGCGUGCUUAACACAUGCAAGUCGAACGGAAAGGCCCUGCUUUUGUGGGGUGCUCGAGUGGCGAACGGGUGAGUAACACGUGAGUAACCUGCCCUUGACUUUGGGAUAACUUCAGGAAACUGGGGCUAAUACCGGAUAGGAGCUCCUGCUGCAUGGUGGGGGUUGGAAAGUUUCGGCGGUUGGGGAUGGACUCGCGGCUUAUCAGCUUGUUGGUGGGGUAGUGGCUUACCAAGGCUUUGAAGGGUAGCCGGCCUGAGAGGGUGACCGGCCACAUUGGGACUGAGAUACGGCCCAGACUCCUACGGGAGGCAGCAGUGGGGAAUAUUGCACAAUGGGCGGAAGCCUGAUGCAGCAACGCCGCGUGCGGGAUGACGGCCUUCGGGUUGGAAACCGCUUUCGCCUGUGACGAAGCGUGAGGGACGGUAAUGGGUAAAGAAGCACCGGCUAACUACGU
This 467-nucleotide ribosomal RNA is filed under the name uncultured bacterium. Its description in RNAcentral is "partial 16S ribosomal RNA". It matches the Rfam family "Bacterial small subunit ribosomal RNA", at positions 28 to 506 of the family's 1533-position model. The record is from RNAcentral.